Molecule: ribosomal RNA, 593 nt
Filed under: uncultured Gammaproteobacteria bacterium
Lineage: Bacteria; Pseudomonadati; Pseudomonadota; Gammaproteobacteria
Description: bacterial SSU rRNA
Rfam family: Bacterial small subunit ribosomal RNA
Source: RNAcentral
ACGGGUGAGUAACGCGUAGGAAUCUACCUAGUAGUGGGGGACAACGUCUCGAAAGGGACGCUAAUACCGCAUACGCCCUACGGGGGAAAGGGGGGAUCUUCGGACCUCUCGCUAUUAGAUGAGCCUGCGUCGGUUUAGCUAGUUGGUGGGGUAAAGGCCUACCAAGGCGACGAUCCGUAGCUGGUCUGAGAGGAUGAUCAGCCACACCGGAACUGAGACACGGUCCGGACUCCUACGGGAGGCAGCAGUGGGGAAUAUUGGACAAUGGGGGCAACCCUGAUCCAGCCAUGCCGCGUGUGUGAAGAAGGCCUUCGGGUUGUAAAGCACUUUAGGGGGGGAGGAAGGUCCCAAGGCGAAUACCUUUGGGAAUUGACGUUACCCCCAGAAUAAGCACCGGCUAACUCCGUGCCAGCAGCCGCGGUAAUACGGAGGGUGCAAGCGUUAAUCGGAAUUACUGGGCGUAAAGCGCGCGUAGGCGGUUAGGUAAGUCGAUUGUGAAAUCCCCGGGCUCAACCUGGGAAUUGCAGUCGAGACUGUCUGACUAGAGUGUAGGAGAGGGUGGUGGAAUUCCCGGUGUAGCGGUGAAAUGCGUA